UGGGCGAAAGCCUGAUCCAGCCAUGCCGCGUGAGUGAUGAAGGCCUUCGGGUUGUAAAGCUCUUUUAGCGGGGAAGAUAAUGACGGUACCCGCAGAAAAAGCCCCGGCUAACUUCGUGCCAGCAGCCGCGGUAAUACGAAGGGGGCUAGCGUUGUUCGGAUUUACUGGGCGUAAAGCGCGCGUAGGCGGGUCGUUAAGUCGGGGGUGAAAUCCCGAGGCUCAACCUCGGAACUGCCUUCGAUACUGGCGACCUAGAGUCCGGGAGAGGUGUAUGGAACUCCUAGUGUAGAGGUGGAAUUCGUAGAUAUUAGGAAGAACACCGGUGGCGAAGGCGAUACACUGGCCCGGUACUGACGCUGAGGCGCGAAAGCGUGGGGAGCAAACAGGAUUAGAUACCCUGGUAGUCCACGCCGUAAACUAUGGAAGCCAGCCGUUGGGGGGUUUGCCCCUCAGUGGCGCAGCUAACGCAUUAAGCUUCCCGCCUGGGGAGUACGGUCGCAAGAUUAAAACUCAAAGGAAUUGACGGGGGGCCGCACAAGCGGUGGAGCAUGUGGUUCAAUUCGAAGCAACGCGAAGAACCUUACCAGCCCUUGACAUGGCAGGACGACGUUCAGAGACGGACGUUUUCCCUUCGGGGACCUGCACACAGGUGCUGCAUGGCUGUCGUCAGCUCGUGUCGUGAGACGUUGGGUUAAGUCCCGCAACGAGCGCAACCCUCGCCCUUAGUUGCCAUCAUUAAGUUGGGCACUCUAGGGGGACUGCCGGUGAUAAGCCGGAGGAAGGUGGGGAUGAUGUCAAGUCUUCAUGGCCCUUACGGGCUGGGCUACAAGCUCGUGUCUUGAGACGUUGGGUUAAGUCCCGCAACGAGCGCAACCCUCGCCCUUAGUUGCCAUCAUUAAGUUGGGCACUCUAGGGGGACUGCCGGUGAUAAGCCGGAGGAAGGUGGGGAUGAUGUCAAGUCUUCAUGGCCCUUACGGGCUGGGCUACACACGUGCUACAAUGGCGGUGACAGAGGGCAGYGACCAYGCAGAGUSGACUGCUAGAGGAUCCUAMWAGCCGUCUCAKAUCGGAUU
This 1073-nucleotide ribosomal RNA is filed under the name uncultured Alphaproteobacteria bacterium. RNAcentral describes it as "bacterial SSU rRNA". It matches the Rfam family "Bacterial small subunit ribosomal RNA", at positions 372 to 1299 of the family's 1533-position model. The record is from RNAcentral. Lineage: Bacteria; Pseudomonadati; Pseudomonadota; Alphaproteobacteria.